RNAcentral lists this ribosomal RNA (119 nucleotides) under Pteropus alecto (black flying fox). Lineage: Eukaryota; Metazoa; Chordata; Mammalia; Chiroptera; Pteropodidae. The record is from RNAcentral.
AUCUAUGGCCAUGCCACCCUGAACAUGCCCAAUCUCGUCUGAUCUCGGAAGCUAAGCAGGAUCAGGCCUGGUUAGUACUUGGAUGGGAGACCACCAAGGAAUACCGGGUGCUGCAGGCU